This 254-nucleotide ribosomal RNA is filed under the name uncultured bacterium. RNAcentral's name for it is "partial 16S ribosomal RNA". It matches the Rfam family "Bacterial small subunit ribosomal RNA", at positions 524 to 776 of the family's 1533-position model. The record is from RNAcentral.
UACGAAGGGGGGCUAGCGUUGCUCGGAAUCACUGGGCGUAAAGCGCACGUAGGCGGCUUCUUAAGUCAGGGGUGAAAUCCUGGAGCUCAACUCCAGAACUGCCUUUGAUACUGAGGAGCUUGAGUCCGGGAGAGGUGAGUGGAACUGCGAGUGUAGAGGUGAAAUUCGUAGAUAUUCGGAAGAACACCAGUGGCGAAGGCGACAUACUGGUCCAUUACUGACGCUGAGGCUCGAAAGCGUGGGGAGCAAACAGG